Molecule: long non-coding RNA, 1705 nt
Filed under: Homo sapiens (human)
Lineage: Eukaryota; Metazoa; Chordata; Mammalia; Primates; Hominidae
Description: HSALNT0165995
Source: RNAcentral
UAGGUGGAGAUGUAGGAAGAAACAGCCACAUUUUUGCCUCAUCGAAGCUAAAGAUUCAACAGAAUUUUUUUACUGCAUGCCUAUAUGUGCUAAAUGCUUUCCCAUGUUAUCUUGUUUGUUUCUUGCAAUAAAUUAGUUAUCCUGUGCUAUCUACAGCAGGUAUGGACCCUUCCCCUGGAAAUACUCUCAGCAAUCCACUACAGAAUGUUGUGGGGUCAAGAGCACAGCUUGGUGCAGUGUUGAAGAGCUCUUGAGCCAGGCAUCUGGGCUUUGAAUCUGGCUUGGUCACUCACUGUGUGACCUAGGGACAAGUGUCCCUCUCAUGUCUUGUUUUUCUUAUCUCUCAUGUAAAGUCUUGUCUCACCACCUCAUUUCCACCCCCUGCCCUCCCUUACCCUGUUAUAUUUCCCUUCAUGGCUUUGAUUACCACAUGGCAUGAUGUGUGUUUGUCUACUUUGUUAACUCUCUGAAUCCCUCCAUCGGAACUGAAGGUCCAUGAAUGCUGAAGCUUUGCUUGUUCCACCAACAUGCAUAAUAGUGCCUGGCACAUACCAGGUGCAUCUAUAUAAGUUGACAGAGGGAUGAAUAAAUGAGUGAAUGGAAAAUGGAGAUAGCGGCUGAAUGUGCAAAAUAUCAGUUCUUUUUGACACUCUGGAAGACUGGAUGAAGCAAGGAAAAACUGGAAGUUCAACACUGGAUAAAGGAAAUAAUCCAGGAAUGGUAAGAAAAGGUGUUUGAUAACUAGAGGAGAGGAAUAGGUGGCUUGAAUGUAGUUUCAUAAAAAUGCAUGGACUAUGCAUCUGUCAGAUGCAGACCACAAGAAAAGCAGCAUGCAAACUGAGCUGAAGUAGAGGUUACCUAAAAGAGAUGGCUCUAUGCCCAGCUGAUGACUUGAGGCAGCCCACACCAAUCAUAAAGUGUUCUAUCACAUCUAAAAACAAAUGGGACUUGAUUCUCCUUUAUGGAUAUACAAUCAAAGGCAAAUGUCAAUAGGGUAACGAGUAAAAGAAGCUGCUAAUCUAGCCUCCAUAUAAUGCUGACACAUUACUCAGAUGAUAGUAAAUACACGAUGACUAGAUAUAAAAAUUUUUAACGCGUGAAUGCAGAGUAAGGAAAAUGCAUAGGACCCGAGCUGUUGAGCACUGGGGCAGAGGAAGUGUUCAGUAUAAAAGACAACCUUGGUCCUUGGCACAAGAUCUUUGUGCUGCUCUGAGAUUUGGAGCAACGUUUGGUCAUGCUUUUUUCUUCAUCUACAUUUUUAAAAGACUCAUUCACUAGAAUAUAAAAUAUGUAACAAGAACUUACAUGACCUUCCAGCAUCCUGCUCGUUUUUCACACUGCUUUGGAUUUGGUAGCUCCAUGUAUUAAGAUAAUCAGGAUGCUCAAAUAUAUUGCCACACACCGUAAAACUGGGUGAUAUCCAUGCCACAGCCAUUGGCAGCAUGUUACUGAAAGUUUUGAAGGGGAGGAAGGGAACUGUGCAUAUAAUAUUUCACCCCCAUCUAUUCUUUCCCCACGCUUCAUCAGAACAGAUGGCAGAGAUGCAUUAGUUGUCUCGUUUUGUUUUGAAAUGUUUCAUUGUAAAAUAAACAAUUCUUCAGUAGAGUUUUUGUUAGUACAUAAAACUAGACUUAGAGUAAAGUUAAAUGCCUUUUCCCCACUACCCCUGCCCCAAAGCAUAAAUAAAACAAAAAUUAAAAGAUGC